AUGGGAAUGGAUCAUAGCAUGUUGACAGUUCAUAGGAGCGCAUCUAUCUUUCUAUCAGCAACUCGAUAGAGGGCCGCCAUUCACAGUUGAAGUUGUGUUAUACCUGGUGGUGGUUCAGAACUGUUAAAUGAACGCAUAUGGAAUGCCUAUGCUAGACCGCAGGUAUAUGUUCCCCUUGAAGGGGAACACAUUUACUACUUCCCCAAGGACAUAUGUGGUGCUUUUCAAAAUGGCAAACUUGCAGAUAGCAUAAAACCCAUCUCUCAAAAUUAAUUCCAAGUCAUCUUGUA
RNAcentral lists this long non-coding RNA (290 nucleotides) under Helianthus annuus (common sunflower). RNAcentral describes it as "hypothetical non coding rna". The record is from RNAcentral. Lineage: Eukaryota; Viridiplantae; Streptophyta; Magnoliopsida; Asterales; Asteraceae.